CAGCUCUCUCCCUUCGUCACUUGCUGGGAGGGACCCAGUGGGCCGGCAGGAAGCACCAGGACCAUCUGAGUGACCCUCACCUUUUCCAGCCUCAGACCCUGUUCAGGGGCUGCUGCAGCAGAAGCAGACCAGAGAGAGCCUGUGACUUCCUCAAGGCCACACAGCAUGCUAGCAGCAAAGCCCUGCUCUGAACUCCAGGUACAGCUCGUUUGAUCUCCUAGCUGUCUCUUCAAUAUUUUGACACUUUGCAUCUCCUUUGCUCUCCCUGCCCAUAUGGCCUCAUCACUGGCUGUGGGACCAGUGGUCAUCGGCGUAGG
Zalophus californianus (California sea lion) is the source of this 317-nucleotide long non-coding RNA. RefSeq lists it as uncharacterized. Lineage: Eukaryota; Metazoa; Chordata; Mammalia; Carnivora; Otariidae. The record is from RefSeq and is a predicted model, not a curated record. The transcript has 3 exons.